RNAcentral lists this ribosomal RNA (253 nucleotides) under uncultured bacterium. RNAcentral's name for it is "partial 16S ribosomal RNA". It matches the Rfam family "Bacterial small subunit ribosomal RNA", at positions 524 to 776 of the family's 1533-position model. The record is from RNAcentral.
UACGUAGGUGGCAAGCGUUAUCCGGAAUUAUUGGGCGUAAAGAGCUCGUAGGCGGUUUGUCGCGUCGAAUGUGAAAACCCGGGGCUCAACCCCGGGCCUGCAUUCGAUACGGGCAGACUAGAGUUCGGUAGGGGAGUCUGGAAUUCCUGGUGUAGCGGUGAAAUGCGCAGAUAUCAGGAGGAACACCGGUGGCGAAGGCGGGACUCUGGGCCGAUACUGACGCUGAGGAGCGAAAGCGUGGGGAGCAAACAGG